RNAcentral lists this ribosomal RNA (409 nucleotides) under bacterium. RNAcentral's name for it is "partial 16S ribosomal RNA". It matches the Rfam family "Bacterial small subunit ribosomal RNA", at positions 355 to 776 of the family's 1533-position model. The record is from RNAcentral.
UGGGGAAUAUUGCACAAUGGGCGAAAGCCUGAUGCAGCGACGCCGCGUGAGGGAUGACGGCCUGCGGGUUGUAAACCUCUUUCAGCAGGGACGAAGCGCAAGUGACGGUACCUGCAGAAGAAGCACCGGCUAACUACGUGCAAGCAGCCGCGGUAAUACGUAGGGUGCAAGCGUUGUCCGGAAUUACUGGGCGUAAAGAGUUCGUAGGCGGUUAGUCGCGUCGUUUGUGAAAACCAGCAGCUCAACUGCUGGCUUGCAGGCGAUACGGGCAGACUUGAGUACUGCAGGGGAGACUGUAAUUCCUGGUGUAGCGGUUAAAUGCGCAGCUCUCAGGAGGAACACCGGUGGCGAAGGCGGGUCUCUGGGCAGUAACUGACGCUUAGGAACGAAAGCGUGGGUAUCGCACAGU